This 4327-nucleotide long non-coding RNA is filed under the name Homo sapiens (human). RNAcentral's name for it is "non-protein coding lnc-HNRNPA2B1-15:5". Lineage: Eukaryota; Metazoa; Chordata; Mammalia; Primates; Hominidae. The record is from RNAcentral.
AGACGGAAGGGGCCAGGUUAACGCAGCCGCGCGCCCGCCGGGCAGCCAGAAUCGUCACCGUAGCGCGGGAAGGGGCCUCGCGGGCCGUCUGCAGCAGGUGCGGCCGGGAGCCGCAGGCCCGCGCGUUGCCAUGGGUUACCAGGGCGGUUGCCAUGGGUUACCGGACCGAGGCCGGCUGGCUCGCUACCUGCAGCCCAGUCGCCGCCGCCAGCGGAGCGGCCCGGGCGGGACGCGGCGGGAGCGCGCGUGUGCGGGACGCAGCGCGGGGGAUGCGCGCGGGCCGCGGAGGCGCCGCAACCAACAGGCGGCCGAGGGUGCAGCCGCGGGAGCGCCACCGCCAGUGGGGUGGGGGGCAAAGCUAUAAAGAAGGCCCAGAGGAUUCCUGCGGAGCUGUAUUUACUUUACAUCCAUGUGAACUGCUGUCAUCACUACUGUGUCCAAGCCCAGAGGAUGAACUGGAAAAGAAGAGAGGGGGAAAAUAAUAAAAAGAGGAAAUUGGUUUUCACAACACACUCAAAGCCUGAGUAACAGAGGAGAACUUUAAUUAUCUCCAGUCACAAAGAGAGACAGGAAAUUUGGACUUUUAAUUAGCCAUUUGGAGUGCAGUUGGGUAUUUUUUUAGCUAGAUAAUUUAAACGCGAAUAAUUCAAGUCUGACUAAAUGAAAGUCACAUAAUCAGAAUGCAAAUAAUUGAAUUUCUACUGCAUUCAUUAAUUCAGUGUGGAGGUGUGUGUGAAGACUACUAUGAUGAGCUGUCACAGCUCAAUAAAAUCUCAGUCAAUUAAUUUUUUCAUUAUCUUAGUAUUAUAUCAACAAAAAAGUGAAGUGUGUAUAUAUAUCUAUACACGUGCAUAUGUGCAUACUAUGUAUUAUAUAAAUACAUAUACAUUAAAUCAAAAUGCAAGGAAAUACCUUUCUGAAUCAUAAUCUAUAUCAUUUUCUUUUUUUCCUUCUUCAUCUUCUUCAGGGAAACGUCUAUUCAUUAAGGCAAACUUGUGAAUUGCUUCUUCCACAGAGUACUUAGUCUGCCCAGAAACACACGCCUCAAUGUCUUCUGAAUUCAGAUGGCUCUGUAAGAAGAGGUGAAGGCUGCUAUCUGAAAGCAAAAGUGCAUUCUGUAGGACUCUAUAUUAAAAAAAAAAGGAAAAAUAAUUGGUGAACAGGAUGGUCAGUGAUAGGGUAGAAGAAAGAAAAACAUUAGAAAAGUACCACUGAAGAUUAAGAGAAGAGUUAUAGAGCAACAAUCCAUUAAUACGAACUUGGAUCGUGAAGUCUGUGAAGUCUGAGCAGAGUGUUUCCUGUGGCCUCUGUCAGCGGUUUCCUGCCUGCCAUAAGUACAAGGAACUGUUCAUGGGAUUGUACUCGUGGCUUUGUUUCUGUUGGAAAUGUGUUUUAUUUUCUUUAUAAAAUAAUGGGUAAUCUUUAAAAUUGAUUUUAGAUGGUUUGAGGCAUUACACCACAACAGUAAUGAGCACUAAUGCCAAUGAUAUUGGACACAAAUUCAUUUUAGCUUUAUUUCAUGUCUGAAGCAAUUCUACUGAGCCUUGAACUGCUCACGUGUUGUUAUUAACUUGCUAGUAACUUAACACAUGGGUACAGCAAACAAAAGUGAUCAGAGUCCAGGUUGAUCGGGACCUCAAGGCUACUGUCCUUUUUCUUGAGCUAUAAUUCAAUUUCCAAUUUUACUGUACAUUAGACUCAUUAUUUCCCAGCGUUUUCUUUUUCUGCUCAAUACUGCCAUCUGGAGGACACACAGAUGAAAAGAGAAGGAGCCAGGCUCACCCAGCUCACAAUUCCAAAGAGCCAGAAAGAUGUGGCUGGGGAGGGGACAUCUGAACACUCCCCCAGGCCUAGAGUUCAAACCAGUGAGUCGGCUAGGUACAGUUUUGGUUUUUGGAAUCUCCUCUGUUUCUCUGGCUAAAUUCAUGCCACCAUACUCCAUGAGUUUUAAAUAAGCAAAAAUAAUUUUUAAAUGUAUUUAUAUGCUUAUUUUAGUCAGAUAGUUCAUUCUGAAAUUUAAAAUGAAAAUUUUUGAGAGUGUUUUCCCAUCUGGUUAGGUGAGCAUAAUUAAUUUAUUUUGAGUACUAUUUGGCUUACUAUCAGAGAGGGCUGUGACUGCCACCAUCAUAAUAUUAAAUACUAUUUUUUCCUUAGUCAUGUUUGUGCCAUAUUUUCCACAAACAAAUCUAAUAGCCCAAAAUCAAUUUCAAACCUAAUAUAAAGAGUACUUUGUAAAACAGUCAAUAAAAUGUCAUUUGUAGAAACCUCCAUUUAAAAAGUAUAUGAUUUUCAAACCUUUAUAAAAGGAAUAAAAAAUAGCCUCUAGGAUUUUAAAAGAAUUUCUAGAAAGAUAUUUAUAGUGCAAAUCAGAAGUUAUUCCUUUCCCCAUAACAGUUUUAGACUAAACAAAGCAAAAUCUGUUUUUUUUCCCUAAACUGGACACAGUUGAAAAGCACAGUUUUCCUCAACAUGAUUUUAUUAGAUGUAUUAUAUGCUGGUUUAGCUGAGAAUAUAUAGCUAUGCAAAAUCAUUUCAUCCUAACUAAGGAUGUCCUGGGUCUGCUGAACCCAAUACAAUGAUAUAUAUACAUAACUGCAUAGUACAUGGAAGGUUAGCAGUUUGAUGUAGAAAAAAAAAAUUAACUCAGCCUGUUUAGCUCUUACUAUAAGAAAAAAUAAAACCUACAAAUCUUCAUUGAAGACAUUCAUGAUCUAUGCUGUGGUGCCCUCUAUUGAACACAAAGACAUAAAAAUCGUGUGUGUGUAAAACUAGCUGUCAUGGUUCAACACUAGCCUUUUGUAAAAAAUCUUUAAUAUUCCUUAAUAUUUGAAGAAAUACAAAACCAUGAUACUAAAGUCUAAACUGUAGGGUAAAUGUAGUUGUAUUAAUGGGAUGAAUUCAGUAAAGAAGGGAAGCGGCUCCCAGUCAUGAACAAAUCUAUUCAAACCUAAAUUGAAAAUCCCAUUCAAACCUAAAAAUUAGUAGGAAUUCCAUUUUUCAUAGUUAGAGACUUACUGAGUUUAUAUUUUUUAGCCUAUAACUUUCUUUUCAUAACUAUUAGAAGGGACUUUAAGUUUAUAAUUACUCAGGGGCAAGAAUACAAAAGGGAGAUUAUAGUUAAGACUGAAGAAAAAUGAAUAUAUUUGAAAAAUCUCACAAUCAUACCAAAUUUAGCCAGCAUUUAAGAGUACUGCUAAUUUUAAAUUUGCCAGGUUCUGGGAUUCAUAUAGUAUGUCCAUCUUUCCUAUAAUUUCUUUAUCUAUAAAACUGAGAUAAUACCCAACUCCUAAGAUUUUUAGUACUGAGACUAAAACAUGUAAAAUGCCAAACACGUAGAAAGUGUUCGAUAAAUGGUAGAAAUUAUUCUUAUUUGGCACCUAGUCAAAGAAACAAUUUUCCAAUUCCUCUACAAAGAUCAGUACUUUCUUAUUACAUAUGUAUCAUUUCACAAAUGACCUUAAAGAAAAAUAGGUAUAUAUACACAUAUACAAAGACAUUGUGGUUUCAAAAGGUUUGAACAUAUUUAGUGCUUCUGGUUCAUAACUUCAAAACUCACAUGAAAACCAGGCUUUAAAAAUGCAUGCGAAAAACCUACAAUACAAGCAUGUUUCCAUGUUUUAAUGCUGUGGUUCCUAAAAUUCCUCUACAAACAAGGUACAGGCUAUUGAUGGCUGGCCCUACUUAACAGGUAACCAGUGGGGGCUCAGAGGAUGUCAAACUGGGGCCAAGACACAGUGCCAAGGUACACAUCACAUCCAGUUCCCUAGAGUGGACCCUGGUUGGGUGAGGGGAGGGGGCACCAGGGGCAAAGACAUGGAGGGUACUACCUUACACAACCCGGGCAAGCACAGAUCUGAGGGACACAGAAGGGAGGCUGGGGAGGGUCAGCAGGGGCCGCAGAGCUCAGUUCAGGCCUGAAGCCAGCCCUGUGGUAUUUGACUCCUCACUUCCUUCAGGUUUAGGCUGUGUGGAAGCACCAGCUUUCAUUUUUAAAGUGAAAUAUUAACUUGUAGACAAAUGUUCACAUACCACAGGGGAACAAAUGAUAUCACAAGAGAACCCCCUGCCAAUUCCAUGAUUUGACAAUCCAAUCGGAUGACAAUCCAGAUUCAGUGUUAAUGAAUCUAGCCGUAGCCCUGGAUGUGUACACAGUGCUCCCCCUAGAAGGAAGUGUCAGGACAAGGACUUGUUCAUUCUGUGCAGUCCUAUGUCCGUGGCACGCAGCCUGGCCCAAAGCAUUCACUUAAUAAACAUCUAUUGAAUGAAGGAUCGCUGCAUGGUUUUUAGAGUUUUUUUCAAGUCCUUUUCAUCUGUAGGACACAACCAC